RNAcentral lists this ribosomal RNA (2904 nucleotides) under Escherichia coli. RNAcentral describes it as "23S ribosomal RNA". It matches the Rfam family "Bacterial large subunit ribosomal RNA". The record is from RNAcentral. Lineage: Bacteria; Pseudomonadati; Pseudomonadota; Gammaproteobacteria; Enterobacterales; Enterobacteriaceae.
GGUUAAGCGACUAAGCGUACACGGUGGAUGCCCUGGCAGUCAGAGGCGAUGAAGGACGUGCUAAUCUGCGAUAAGCGUCGGUAAGGUGAUAUGAACCGUUAUAACCGGCGAUUUCCGAAUGGGGAAACCCAGUGUGUUUCGACACACUAUCAUUAACUGAAUCCAUAGGUUAAUGAGGCGAACCGGGGGAACUGAAACAUCUAAGUACCCCGAGGAAAAGAAAUCAACCGAGAUUCCCCCAGUAGCGGCGAGCGAACGGGGAGCAGCCCAGAGCCUGAAUCAGUGUGUGUGUUAGUGGAAGCGUCUGGAAAGGCGUGCGAUACAGGGUGACAGCCCCGUACACAAAAAUGCACAUAUUGUGAGCUCGAUGAGUAGGGCGGGACACGUGGUAUCCUGUCUGAAUAUGGGGGGACCAUCCUCCAAGGCUAAAUACUCCUGACUGACCGAUAGUGAACCAGUACCGUGAGGGAAAGGCGAAAAGAACCCCGGCGAGGGGAGUGAAAAAGAACCUGAAACCGUGUACGUACAAGCAGUGGGAGCACGCUUAGGCGUGUGACUGCGUACCUUUUGUAUAAUGGGUCAGCGACUUAUAUUCUGUAGCAAGGUUAACCGAAUAGGGGAGCCGAAGGGAAACCGAGUCUUAACUGGGCGUUAAGUUGCAGGGUAUAGACCCGAAACCCGGUGAUCUAGCCAUGGGCAGGUUGAAGGUUGGGUAACACUAACUGGAGGACCGAACCGACUAAUGUUGAAAAAUUAGCGGAUGACUUGUGGCUGGGGGUGAAAGGCCAAUCAAACCGGGAGAUAGCUGGUUCUCCCCGAAAGCUAUUUAGGUAGCGCCUCGUGAAUUCAUCUCCGGGGGUAGAGCACUGUUUCGGCAAGGGGGUCAUCCCGACUUACCAACCCGAUGCAAACUGCGAAUACCGGAGAAUGUUAUCACGGGAGACACACGGCGGGUGCUAACGUCCGUCGUGAAGAGGGAAACAACCCAGACCGCCAGCUAAGGUCCCAAAGUCAUGGUUAAGUGGGAAACGAUGUGGGAAGGCCCAGACAGCCAGGAUGUUGGCUUAGAAGCAGCCAUCAUUUAAAGAAAGCGUAAUAGCUCACUGGUCGAGUCGGCCUGCGCGGAAGAUGUAACGGGGCUAAACCAUGCACCGAAGCUGCGGCAGCGACGCUUAUGCGUUGUUGGGUAGGGGAGCGUUCUGUAAGCCUGUGAAGGUGUACUGUGAGGUAUGCUGGAGGUAUCAGAAGUGCGAAUGCUGACAUAAGUAACGAUAAAGCGGGUGAAAAGCCCGCUCGCCGGAAGACCAAGGGUUCCUGUCCAACGUUAAUCGGGGCAGGGUGAGUCGACCCCUAAGGCGAGGCCGAAAGGCGUAGUCGAUGGGAAACAGGUUAAUAUUCCUGUACUUGGUGUUACUGCGAAGGGGGGACGGAGAAGGCUAUGUUGGCCGGGCGACGGUUGUCCCGGUUUAAGCGUGUAGGCUGGUUUUCCAGGCAAAUCCGGAAAAUCAAGGCUGAGGCGUGAUGACGAGGCACUACGGUGCUGAAGCAACAAAUGCCCUGCUUCCAGGAAAAGCCUCUAAGCAUCAGGUAACAUCAAAUCGUACCCCAAACCGACACAGGUGGUCAGGUAGAGAAUACCAAGGCGCUUGAGAGAACUCGGGUGAAGGAACUAGGCAAAAUGGUGCCGUAACUUCGGGAGAAGGCACGCUGAUAUGUAGGUGAAGUCCCUCGCGGAUGGAGCUGAAAUCAGUCGAAGAUACCAGCUGGCUGCAACUGUUUAUUAAAAACACAGCACUGUGCAAACACGAAAGUGGACGUAUACGGUGUGACGCCUGCCCGGUGCCGGAAGGUUAAUUGAUGGGGUUAGCGCAAGCGAAGCUCUUGAUCGAAGCCCCGGUAAACGGCGGCCGUAACUAUAACGGUCCUAAGGUAGCGAAAUUCCUUGUCGGGUAAGUUCCGACCUGCACGAAUGGCGUAAUGAUGGCCAGGCUGUCUCCACCCGAGACUCAGUGAAAUUGAACUCGCUGUGAAGAUGCAGUGUACCCGCGGCAAGACGGAAAGACCCCGUGAACCUUUACUAUAGCUUGACACUGAACAUUGAGCCUUGAUGUGUAGGAUAGGUGGGAGGCUUUGAAGUGUGGACGCCAGUCUGCAUGGAGCCGACCUUGAAAUACCACCCUUUAAUGUUUGAUGUUCUAACGUUGACCCGUAAUCCGGGUUGCGGACAGUGUCUGGUGGGUAGUUUGACUGGGGCGGUCUCCUCCUAAAGAGUAACGGAGGAGCACGAAGGUUGGCUAAUCCUGGUCGGACAUCAGGAGGUUAGUGCAAUGGCAUAAGCCAGCUUGACUGCGAGCGUGACGGCGCGAGCAGGUGCGAAAGCAGGUCAUAGUGAUCCGGUGGUUCUGAAUGGAAGGGCCAUCGCUCAACGGAUAAAAGGUACUCCGGGGAUAACAGGCUGAUACCGCCCAAGAGUUCAUAUCGACGGCGGUGUUUGGCACCUCGAUGUCGGCUCAUCACAUCCUGGGGCUGAAGUAGGUCCCAAGGGUAUGGCUGUUCGCCAUUUAAAGUGGUACGCGAGCUGGGUUUAGAACGUCGUGAGACAGUUCGGUCCCUAUCUGCCGUGGGCGCUGGAGAACUGAGGGGGGCUGCUCCUAGUACGAGAGGACCGGAGUGGACGCAUCACUGGUGUUCGGGUUGUCAUGCCAAUGGCACUGCCCGGUAGCUAAAUGCGGAAGAGAUAAGUGCUGAAAGCAUCUAAGCACGAAACUUGCCCCGAGAUGAGUUCUCCCUGACUCCUUGAGAGUCCUGAAGGAACGUUGAAGACGACGACGUUGAUAGGCCGGGUGUGUAAGCGCAGCGAUGCGUUGAGCUAACCGGUACUAAUGAACCGUGAGGCUUAACCUU